This is a non-coding RNA of Trichonephila clavata, 72 nucleotides long. NCBI's taxonomy places the organism in Eukaryota, Metazoa, Arthropoda, Arachnida, Araneae, Nephilidae. The record is from the annotation of a GenBank genome assembly.
GUCCGUUAGCGCAAUGGAUCGCGCGUUGGACUUCUAAUCAAAAUGUCGUGUUUUCGAAUCACACUUGGGAUG